This 2097-nucleotide long non-coding RNA is filed under the name Salmo salar (Atlantic salmon). RNAcentral describes it as "lncRNA (ENSSSAG00000116843.1)". Lineage: Eukaryota; Metazoa; Chordata; Actinopteri; Salmoniformes; Salmonidae. The record is from RNAcentral.
CAGAAAUGGGAGUCGACACCGGUAGUCGACAGGCAAGGAGUCGAGGAACCCACCACAGUUUCGCGAAAUGUACACAAACAACUUUGAAAAGAUCUGACUGCUAAGUGGUAGUCCCUGUUCUCCUGCAUUCUUGUUUUACUUUUGAAUCUUCUAGCUUGGAUGAUAGGAUGGAGAAGGGAACAAAGUUCCUGAAACAUGUAGAUGACAUGAUGCAUGGCCUCUACAGCAGUGCUUGGCCACCCAUUCAUUUUCCAGUGAUCUUUUCUGCCACAUCCCAGGUAAGGGAGGGCAGAAUCAUCCCUCCUUAAAUCCACAGUCAUUGACAGUAAGUUUUGUGUGCAAAAUGUUUUUUUUGUUUGAUACUUUGAUAUUCAAUGUGUAUUGAUUCCUACUAACCAGUUUUGUAAGAGCUAGGUUCGUACACUCUCCAAACUGAGCUAUUUCAGCGAGCCGCUUGGCUUAUGUCAGUGUGACUUUUCAGGACACCUGCAAGUGGCACAGAAUAUGAGCACUCAGAAGGUAUCGCAUGGCCAGUACAGAGAUCGAACCUACAACCUUGGCUUAAUUAGCACAACAGUCAAUUGUUACCAGCUAUCGUGGCUCAGCAGGUACUAGCGAGUAAUCUACCAAGUAAGGAUAGCCUGGCCAGGGCUAAAGCCAGAACAAGAGCCUCUUGAUUGCUUCUUGUGGCCACUUCAAGCAGCUGGGGACUCUCUUAGCAAGCAGGAGGUAGUGUGAUUGAUGCCCACAUUCUCCAACACGGGUGGGUAUAAUUUGUGGAACGUUCCAACAGGAAUCCGUUCCAAAAACUCCGCAAAUGUCAAGGUUGCCAACCAACAACGCAUACAAAGUCGUAUAACGGUUGAAUGAGAUACCGGGUAGGGAGUGAGCAAUGUAAUAACGUUUUUCACUCACCACGUUUAUCCCGAAAAAUGUAUCUUCGUUCUGGUAGCCUCCACCAUUCCUCGUUCGUUGGUUUAGUUAUUAUUUCCGGUGUUCCUGCAUUCGCCGGUGAACUCUGUUGCGCCUCAAUUAGGGAAUCGCUAUGGUUGAAAUGUAACUAAUGACUGCCAGCCCCAGUAUUUUAUUAGGUAGGUGGAUUGUUCACAAUUGUUACCGAUGAUACUGUAUAUACCAGCCUACUCGUAUUACAGAAACAUACAAUGUAUUUUGCCAAGUUCUCUCUGUGUUAAUCCUGGUUCCCAAAUAUCAGCUAACUUGUGUCUGUGUCGAUGUUGUUUAGUUCAACUUGCCUAGUUAAAUAGAGAUUAAAUAAAUUAGAACGUAUACAAUAUGCUUUGACCUAUUUCAGGUAACCUAAAGAUGCUUGAUUCACUAUAGUUGCUUUUGAAGAACAUUCCAGUCGUUUGUGCUUUACAUUACGAUUUUUGAACAUCUGUUUGUUGGACAUAUAUAUUAGUGUCUUAUAAAAAAGGGCAACGUAUGCAAAGCAUCCCAUCUGUUUUAAGGUUAUAGUGUGUAUGUGUGUUGUGUAGUUCCUCUUGAUGUCCACUAGGUGUCAGCACAGCUUCAAUAAUGUCACACCAGGGUCACAACAUGUUUUCAUGUGUAACCUUACAGUGAAAUGCUGACUUACAAGCCCUUAACCAACAAUUUCGUUUUAAGAAAAAUAUGUGUUAAGUAAAAAAUAAGAAAUAAAAUGAACAAAUAAUUAAAGAGCAGUAGUAAAAUCAAAAUAGCGAGGCUACAUACAUAUGUACCGGUUUGUCGAGGUAAUUGAGGUGUUCCUUUCAAUUCCAGUGGUGUAAAUGACUUAACAAAAAAUGUAUUUAAACUACUCCACUACAUUCCGUUUAUAUAUCUGUUUAUUUUGUAUGUGUACUUUUACUCUUUCUGUUUCUUUACAACUUGAAAUUUUACUUCACUACAUUUCUAAAUAAAAUAAUUUAUUUUUUACUCUAUUCAGUUUCCCUGGCACACAAAUGUACUUGUUUCAUUUCAAAUGCUGAGCCGGACAGGAAAAUGGUUAAAUUCACACACUUAUCAAGAGAACAUCCCUGGUCAUCCCUACUGCCUCAGAUCUAGCGGACUCACUAAACACAUGCUUCAUUUGUAAAUUAUGUCUGAUUGUUGGAG